GAUAAAGUGAUUAAGAUUAGGUGGUAAAUUGUAAAUUUACACACAAAAUCUAACUUCCUUUAUCA
RNAcentral lists this transfer RNA (65 nucleotides) under Dicronocephalus adamsi. RNAcentral describes it as "tRNA-Tyr". Lineage: Eukaryota; Metazoa; Arthropoda; Insecta; Coleoptera; Scarabaeidae. The record is from RNAcentral.